GACGAACGCUGGCGGCGUGCUUAACACAUGCAAGUCGAGCGGUAAGGCCCUUUCGGGGGUACACGAGCGGCGAACGGGUGAGUAACACGUGGGUGACCUGCCCUCAGCUCUGGGAUAAGCCCGGGAAACUGGGUCUAAUACCGGAUAUGACUCCACGGUGCAUGUCGUGGGGUGGAAAGCCUUGUGCGGCUGAGGAUGGGCCCGCGGCCUAUCAGCUUGUUGGUGGGGUGAUGGCCUACCAAGGCGACGACGGGUAGCCGGCCUGAGAGGGCGACCGGCCACACUGGGACUGAGACACGGCCCAGACUCCUACGGGAGGCAGCAGUGGGGAAUUUUGCGCAAUGGCGAAAGCCUGACGCAGCAACGCCGCGUGUGUGAUGAAGGUCUUCGGAUUGUAAAGCAC
Molecule: ribosomal RNA, 403 nt
Filed under: uncultured bacterium
Lineage: Bacteria
Description: bacterial SSU rRNA
Rfam family: Bacterial small subunit ribosomal RNA
Source: RNAcentral